This 306-nucleotide long non-coding RNA is filed under the name Gossypium barbadense (sea-island cotton). RNAcentral describes it as "long non-coding RNA (GBAR_LNC019705)". Lineage: Eukaryota; Viridiplantae; Streptophyta; Magnoliopsida; Malvales; Malvaceae. The record is from RNAcentral.
GACAAGGAAGCCUAUAGGAUCGCAUACACAUCAUCGGUAUUAUCUAAAGCACGUUGCGUCCAACUACUACGGGCAAUAUCGGUCUACCACUGAACGACGACAAGUGACCAACAUGGGUAUUUAAUCUCUAUUAAUAUAAUUUCAUUUGUAAUAUUCAAUUUAUUCUGAAUAGAAGAGUGGUAUGUAAUUUUCGCUAUCAACUUAUAUUAGCAGGGUACGAGAUCAAUAAGGAUCGUUUUCAUGAGAUGUUGGCGAUUUUGCGUUCAGUUAACAAACAAGGCGCAGACUACCUCUGUAGCAUACCUU